This 618-nucleotide long non-coding RNA is filed under the name Sinocyclocheilus anshuiensis. Its description in RNAcentral is "lncRNA (ENSSANG00000005511.1)". The record is from RNAcentral. Lineage: Eukaryota; Metazoa; Chordata; Actinopteri; Cypriniformes; Cyprinidae.
UACGCUAGUAGACAGUCUGUAGGCAGAAUGAGGGGGAAAAAAAACCCCAUAGCGAAAAUAAAGGAUGUUACGCCAGUUUUAUGUGAUAUCUGGGAGUCGACCGCUUUCCAGCGUGACAUACGAAUCGAUCGACGAGAGAAAUCAAGAAUUCUACCAGUGAACCUAACAUCUGGAGUGGAGACAUACUGUUUCAACAGUAUGGCAUUGUGGAUUUCUUCUUACGUCUGAAUGGCGUCCGACUGCUGAAGGCAGUCAAGCUAGUUCACCUCAGCAGUACAGAGUGUGAGCUGGCCCAGCUCUGUGGGAGGGUGGAGUCAGUCCAGCGCGGCGUAUCUCAGACAGCAUGGAGGGCCUCUGCAGACCGAAUGGAAUUUAUACCAUAUGUACCAGGCAUCCCAAGAAUGCACGGCACAGAGACUUGACCAACGGAAAGAACUGCAGAAAGUGCAAUGGAAAGGGGCAAGCACGCUUGCACCAAUACAAAGUCUGGGAGCUGAGAGGAGGAACAGGAUAUAUGCGUGACGUCUCUGUCCCGGACGAGCCCUUGGUAAGUCUUCCUGUUUACCUUGUUGACUUCACAAACAAAUGAACGUCAUUGGAAAGCCCUUUGGGUACAGG